This 253-nucleotide ribosomal RNA is filed under the name uncultured bacterium. Its description in RNAcentral is "partial 16S ribosomal RNA". It matches the Rfam family "Bacterial small subunit ribosomal RNA", at positions 524 to 776 of the family's 1533-position model. The record is from RNAcentral.
UACGUAGGGUGCAAGCGUUGUCCGGAAUUAUUGGGCGUAAAGAGCUCGUAGGCGGCUUGUCACGUCGGCUGUGAAAACCUGGGGCUCAACCCCGGGCCUGCAGCCGAUACGGGCAAGCUAGAAUUCGGUAGGGGAGACUGGAAUUCCUGGUGUAGCGGUGAGAUGCGCAGAUAUCAGGAGGAACACCGGUGGCGAAGGCGGGUCUCUGGGCCGAUAUUGACGCUGAGGAGCGAAAGCGUGGGGAGCGAACAGG